GUGCCAGCAGCCGCGGUAAAACGUAGGUGGCGAGCGUUAUCCGGAUUUACUGGGCGUAAAGGGUGUGCAGGCGGGGUCUCAAGUGGUGUGUGAAAUCGCCCGGCUCAACCGGGCGAGGUCAGGCCAGACUGAGGCUCUGGAGUGCGGGAGAGGGGCGUGGAAUUCCGGGUGUAGUGGUGAAAUGCGUAGAGAUCCGGAGGAACCCCAGAGGCGAAGGCGGCGCCCUGGCCCGACACUGACGCUGAGACACGACAGCAUGGGGAGCGAACGGGAUUAGAAACCCUUGUAGUCC
Molecule: ribosomal RNA, 292 nt
Filed under: uncultured bacterium
Lineage: Bacteria
Description: partial 16S ribosomal RNA
Rfam family: Bacterial small subunit ribosomal RNA
Source: RNAcentral